Molecule: long non-coding RNA, 1543 nt
Organism: Camelus dromedarius (Arabian camel)
Lineage: Eukaryota; Metazoa; Chordata; Mammalia; Artiodactyla; Camelidae
Exons: 2
Source: RefSeq, a predicted model, not a curated record
CACGGCGCCGCACCCACCUGCCCCCUCCGCGCCCUGGCGCUUCCCGGGAAGCUGCGGGUGGGGACUUGCCCAGCACCCAAGCCUCUGGGACUGUGUAGCUGUCUCUGGGAGGCCUGUCCUGCGAGGAUAGUCCCUGUAACUGCGUCAGGGCGUGUCCUCCUGAAGGGGAACCUUUUACACACACUCAGGCUCCGACACCAAGGGCGCUGUCGGUGGCGGGCUCAGUGGUGACAGACGAGCAGGGCACCCUCUUGUCUUUGGCUGCAAAAUGCCAGGCACUGGAGGCCAACUUUCACUUAGCCUUUGUCAUUUUGAAAAAUUACCCGUUUGCGGCACAGAAUGGAGGUCAUUUUCUCAAAGAUGCCUUUUCCCAAAAGCAGAGUUCUUGUGUUGAGGAGGCUCCUGCAGUGGUGCUUGUCCAGGUGUGCAGGAGCUCGGGGAGCGAGACAGGUGUGGUGUGGAGACAGUGGCGGGGAGGUGACUGUGGGCCGACCUGGCGGAAGGGGGCACAUUUGGCACCAGCGUGGGCCCGUGAGCAGCAGCGGACGAUGAGGGGUGUCCAGACAUGUGCCGACAGCCAGGAGUGGCAGCUCGUGCCCCUGGUGUGACAGCUUUUGUUUUCCUGCUCGUGAGGUUGUGACAUGUACAGACAUACAAUGUGGCCAUCCUGCCCACUCGCCGGACUUCCCCCAGUUCGGCUCAUGGGGUGGAAUUAGCUGUGUCCAUAUCUCGCUUUGCAGAGGACAUGAGGACUUAACAGAAAUCUGGCUACCAACCCUAGACGGGUCCAUCGCCACGGGUGGCCAAGAGGGCCCCUGCCGGCACAAGGGCCUCUGAGCAGGUGAAGCGUCACGGAGCCCCUGCCGUUAGUCACCCAGGAAGCCGUCGGGUUCUGUGAUGCUCAGCUGACCAGCAACGUGUGUGAAGUGCUGUGGGCAUGGCAGUGGGCUGCGGGGGUGGGUCAGGGUCGGCGUGGCGACGGGAAGUGGGCUGACGAGUCCCAUCCCAGAGGCAGCGCAGUGUAAGCGGCAGGCUGGGGCCUGGGCGUGGAGGCUCCGUCCACGUCCCGGGUGUGGGGGAGCAGACUUGGAAGCCAGUGCCGCGGAGAUUCCACAGCCCUGGGUGUGGAGGCCACAUGGAGGACCGGCGAGCUGGGUGAGAGUCCCUGAGGGCAGGUUACGUGUCCAGGGUGAAGGGUCUGAGGUGCAGGGUCAGGGUGGCCGGGGAGCUCGACCAGGGGAGCCGUGGCUCUUACUGAAGGUCCGCGCGGAGGCGGGCCUGGGCUCAGUGGGCUCGUGCCACUAGUUUCCAGAUUAACAGAGAGAAGGGCAAGGUGGAGCGCUUGCUGUGGUUCCUGCCAGAGAGGAGCUGCUCCCCAGAUGCCAGUCAGGGUCACAGGUGAACGGUAUCCGGCUUCGGACAGCAAGUUGUGUCACUCUGCUUACUGGUGACAGCUCCGUGCUGUAAGAUACCCAGCGUCUGUUUUGGGAAAAAGAUUUAAAGUGUUCCGACAAGAAAUAAACAAGGCUCUUUCUUUCCCGUU